GGUAGGGUACGGAAGUGGCUAAAACCGGCCUGUCUUGAAAACAGGUGUGUCGCAAGGCACCGUGGGUUCGAAUCCCACCCCUACCGCCA
Molecule: transfer RNA, 89 nt
Filed under: Candidatus Omnitrophota bacterium
Lineage: Bacteria; Pseudomonadati; Candidatus Omnitrophota
Description: tRNA-Ser
Rfam family: tRNA
About the family: Transfer RNA (tRNA) molecules are approximately 80 nucleotides in length. Their secondary structure includes four short double-helical elements and three loops (D, anti-codon, and T loops).
Source: RNAcentral